Molecule: ribosomal RNA, 356 nt
Filed under: uncultured bacterium
Lineage: Bacteria
Description: bacterial SSU rRNA
Rfam family: Bacterial small subunit ribosomal RNA
Source: RNAcentral
AGAGUUUGAUCCUGGCUCAGGAUGAACGCUAGCUACAGGCUUAACAUAUGCAAGUCGAGGGGAAACGACAUCGAAAGCUUGCUUUUGAUGGUCGUCGACCGGCGCACGGGUGAGUAACGCGUAUCCAACCUGCCCAUCACUUGGGGAUAACCUUGCGAAAGUAAGACUAAUACCCAAUGAUAUCUCUAGAAGACAUCUGAAAGAGAUUAAAGAUUUAUCGGUGAUGGAUGGGGAUGCGUCUGAUUAGCUAGUUGGCAGGGCAACGGCCUACCAAGGCGACGAUCAGUAGCCGACCUGAGAGGGCGACCGGCCACAUUGGGACUGAGACACGGCCCAAACUCCUACGGGAGGCAGCA